UACGUAGGGGGCAAGCGUUGUCCGGAUUUAUUGGGCGUAAAGAGCGCGUAGGCGGCCAGGUAGGUCUGCUGUGAAAACUCGAGGCUUAACCUCGAGAUGUCGGCGGAAACCAUCUGGCUAGAGUCCGGAAGAGGAGAGUGGAAUUCCUGGUGUAGCGGUGAAAUGCGCAGAUAUCAGGAGGAACACCAAUAGCGAAGGCAGCUCGCUGGGACGUUACUGACACUGAGGCGCGGAAGCGUGGGGAGCGAACAGG
RNAcentral lists this ribosomal RNA (253 nucleotides) under uncultured bacterium. Its description in RNAcentral is "partial 16S ribosomal RNA". It matches the Rfam family "Bacterial small subunit ribosomal RNA", at positions 524 to 776 of the family's 1533-position model. The record is from RNAcentral.